RNAcentral lists this ribosomal RNA (380 nucleotides) under uncultured eukaryote. Its description in RNAcentral is "partial 18S ribosomal RNA". It matches the Rfam family "Eukaryotic small subunit ribosomal RNA", at positions 592 to 976 of the family's 1831-position model. The record is from RNAcentral.
CAAUAGCGUAUAUUAAAGUUGUUGCGGUUAAAAAGCUCGUAGUUGGAUUUCUGCUGAGAACGACCGGUCCGCCCAUUGGGUGUGUAUCUGGCUCUUUCUUGGCAUCUUCUUGGUGAACGUUACUGCACUUGACUGUGUGGAGCGCUACCCAGGACUUUUACUUUGAGGAAAUUAGAGUGUUUCAAGCAGGCAUACGCCUUGAAUACGUUAGCAUGGAAUAAUAAGAUAGGACCUCGGUUCUAUUUUGUUGGUUUCUAGAGCUGAGGUAAUGAUUAAUAGGGAUAGUUGGGGGCAUUCGUAUUUAACUGUCAGAAGUGAAAUUCUUGGAUUUGUUAAAGACGGACUACUGCGAAAGCAUUUGCCAAGGAUGUUUUCAUUGA